This 301-nucleotide ribosomal RNA is filed under the name uncultured bacterium. RNAcentral's name for it is "partial 16S ribosomal RNA". It matches the Rfam family "Bacterial small subunit ribosomal RNA", at positions 509 to 807 of the family's 1533-position model. The record is from RNAcentral.
CAGCCGCCACGGGAAUACGUAGGGUGCGAGCGUUAAUCGGAUUUACUGGGCGUAAAGCGUGCGCAGGCGGCCCGUUAAGACAGGUGUGAAAUCCCUGGGCUCAACCUAGGAAUUGCGCUUGUGACUGGCGGGCUCGAGUACGGUAGAGGGGGGUGGAACUCCUGGUGUAGCAGUGAAAUGCGUAGAGAUCAGGAGGAACACCGAUGGCGAAGGCAGCCCCCUGGGCCUGUACUGAUGCUCAUGCACGAAAGCGUGGGGAGCAAACAGGAUUAGAUACCCCCGUAGUCCCUGUCUCUUAUAC